This 253-nucleotide ribosomal RNA is filed under the name uncultured bacterium. RNAcentral describes it as "partial 16S ribosomal RNA". It matches the Rfam family "Bacterial small subunit ribosomal RNA", at positions 524 to 776 of the family's 1533-position model. The record is from RNAcentral.
UACAGAGGUCUCGAGCGUUGUUCGGAUUCAUUGGGCGUAAAGAGCGCGUAGGCGGCCAGAUAAGUCCGGUGUGAAAGUCAAAGGCUCAACCUUUGAAUGCCGCUGGAAACUGUCUGGCUAGAGUCCGGGAGGGGCGAGUGGAAUUCCUGGUGUAGCGGUGAAAUGCGCAGAUAUCAGGAGGAACACCGGUGGCGAAGGCGGGAUCCUGGGCCAGUACUGACGCUGAGGAGCGAAAGCGUGGGGAGCGAACAGG